UACAGAGGAUGCAAGCGUUAUCCGGAAUUAUUGGGCGUAAAGCGUCUGUAGGUGGCUUUUUAAGUCCGCCGUCAAAUCCCAGGGCUCAACUCUGGACAGGCGGUGGAAACUACCAAGCUGGAGUACGGUAGGGGCAGAGGGAAUUUCCGGUGGAGCGGUGAAAUGCGUAGAGAUCGGAAAGAACACCAGCGGCGAAAGCGCUCUGCUGGGCCGACACUGACACUGAGAGACGAAAGCGAGGGGAGCGAAUGGG
RNAcentral lists this ribosomal RNA (253 nucleotides) under uncultured bacterium. Its description in RNAcentral is "partial 16S ribosomal RNA". It matches the Rfam family "Bacterial small subunit ribosomal RNA", at positions 524 to 776 of the family's 1533-position model. The record is from RNAcentral.